Molecule: ribosomal RNA, 482 nt
Filed under: uncultured bacterium
Lineage: Bacteria
Description: partial 16S ribosomal RNA
Rfam family: Bacterial small subunit ribosomal RNA
Source: RNAcentral
GACGAACGCUGGAUGCGCGCUUAACACAUGCAAGUCGAACGAUGAAAUGGAGCUUGCUCCAUGGAUUAGUGGCGAACGGUUGAGUAACACGUGAAUAACCUGCCCUUAAUUUUGGAAUAACUCAGGGAAACCUCGGCUAAUACUGGUAAACUAAACCUUUGCCAUAACAUGGCUUUGGAAACUUAUUCGAUUAAGGAUUGAUUCGCGGCCUAUCAGCUUGUUGGUGAGGUAAUGGUUCACCAAGUCGACGACGGGUAGCCUGCCUGAGAGGGUGAACGGACACACUGGAACUGAGACAAGGCCCAGACUCCUACGGGAGGCAGAAGUGGGGAAUAUUGCGCAAUGGACGAAAGUCUGACGCAGCGACGCCUCGUGAGGGACGAAGGUCUUCGGAUUGUAAACCUCUUUCAGCAGGGAAGAAGCGAAAGUGACGGUACCUGCAGAAGAAGCACCGGCUAACUAUGUGCCAGCCGCCGCAGUAA